Molecule: microRNA precursor, 55 nt
Filed under: Xenopus laevis (African clawed frog)
Lineage: Eukaryota; Metazoa; Chordata; Amphibia; Anura; Pipidae
Also listed under: 1 other name
Description: Xla-Mir-34-P2b1a_pre stem-loop
Source: RNAcentral
AGGCAGUGUAGAUAGAUGAUUUGAAAUUAUAUCAAUCACUAACUACACAGCCAGG